GGGUCAAUGAUGAGAACUCAUAUGGACUCAAAGAGAGAUGAUGACCUAAAAAUUAUGCUAAAUAGGAUUACGCUGAGGCCA
This is a small nucleolar RNA of 81 nucleotides. Its record names the gene SNORD115. It matches the Rfam family "Small nucleolar RNA SNORD115". Rfam says of the family: HBII-52 is a member of the C/D class of snoRNAs, which contain the C (UGAUGA) and D (CUGA) box motifs. HBII-52 is encoded in a tandemly repeated array with another C/D snoRNA, HBII-85, in the Prader-Willi syndrome (PWS) region of chromosome 15. HBII-52 is exclusively expressed in the brain but is absent in PWS patients. The record is from Ensembl.